GUGCCAGCAGCCGCGGUAAUACGUAGGGUACAAGCGUUGUCCGGAAUUAUUGGGCGUAAAGAGCUCGUAGGUGGUUUGUCGCGUCUGCUGUGGAAUCGUGCCGCUUAACGGUGCGCGUGCAGUGGGUACGGGCAGACUGGAGUGCAGUAGGGGAGUCUGGAAUUCCUGGUGUAGCGGUGAAAUGCGCAGAUAUCAGGAGGAACACCGGUGGCGAAGGCGGGACUCUGGGCUGUUACUGACGCUGAGGAGCGAAAGCAUGG
RNAcentral lists this ribosomal RNA (260 nucleotides) under uncultured Actinomycetales bacterium. RNAcentral's name for it is "partial 16S ribosomal RNA". It matches the Rfam family "Bacterial small subunit ribosomal RNA", at positions 505 to 764 of the family's 1533-position model. The record is from RNAcentral. Lineage: Bacteria; Bacillati; Actinomycetota; Actinomycetes; Actinomycetales.